UCCAUUUCAUGCAUUAGAAAAGAGCUUGAAAUAGAUUUAUAAUGGUAUGACACAGUAUAUUGAAUUAUGUGUCGUGUAUUGUAUAUAGGCAGUGAGCCCUCUAACAAGGGUAAAGACGUUGUAUCAGAGCACUAAGAAUAGGAGUAUUUCAAACUCCUGAUACUGUGAGUAACCUUACUAUCGUCUUAAUUAUCUAAAGUGGUUUUUAUCCGAUUUUGUGAUUUUAUGGAAAAUGAGUUUAAAUGGCAAAUCUUUAUGUUUUAUGAGCAAAAUGUGAUUAAAUGAAAUGAUUGUAUAAAAUUUUCUUGAAAUUGAAUGAUGGUUUUGGAAAAUGGAGUAAUUGGAGACUAAUUGCUGUGUUAUAAAUCAUGGUUUGAAUUGAAUGGCUUAUGAUAAUAUUGGCAUGAAUGGUUGAUUUGGUAAAUGUGUUGAAAAUGUAUGAACUGUUAAUUUACCUUGAGAGGCUGUAAAAUAAAAUAAUUGCCAUGUCAUGCUAUCGCAAAUUUUAUUAAAUUGGUAGGUUAUAAAUUUGUCGCUGCAGUGAACGGGUUCCAUGGACCAGCGUAUUAGAGGGGCAUGGUAACCGUAUUAUAUUCAUACCUUAGUAUGAGAGGUGCAGAUGGAUAACUCUUGAGGUUAACACUUUAGAGUUCACUUCACGCCAAACUACCACGUGAGGGUGAACUCAGCCAACGCCAAGGAAUGGUUAUGUUUUCAAAAUAAAAACAUGAUUUAUGUGUACAUAACUUUUUAACAGCCUUGGUGGACUUGGUUGGGAUAGCCCUCAAUCAAGGUAUCCCUAAUAACUGAGUAUGAGAAUGAUUUUGGCACGAGCCAAAGUUUUAAGAAAUUCAUAAGCCAUGUUGAUUACUCAAUUUAUAUGAAUUGAUUUUAUUUGGUUGAAAUGAGUUGAAAGGUGAUGAAUUACAAUAUGUUAAACUAUUUUAUUUGUUUCCAUUUACUCAACUUUAAAUAUUUUAGAUGGUAUUUGUUUACUUACUGAGAUUAUAUAAUCUCACCACCCUCAUUUCCACCCAUUUCAAGCUCAGGAUAGUCGGUAGAUAGCUCAUUUCGUUGAGAGCUAUAGUUGGAUUUGCAUCUUCCAAACUGUAGGUUCACAGUCUUCCUUACUUUUAGUUAUUCGGGGGCCUACUAGUUAUUGUAAAUUAAAUUAAAUACUCUAGCUUACUGUGUUACAAUAUGUAUGAAUUUAUUUUGCUUUUACGCUGCAAAAAUUAUUUACGUAUAACUCUAAAAAUAUUGUUUUAUAG
RNAcentral lists this long non-coding RNA (1271 nucleotides) under Theobroma cacao (cacao). Its description in RNAcentral is "long non-coding RNA (TCAC_LNC003302)". The record is from RNAcentral. Lineage: Eukaryota; Viridiplantae; Streptophyta; Magnoliopsida; Malvales; Malvaceae.